AUUGAACGCUGGCGGCAGGCCUAACACUUGCAAGUCGAGCGGCAGCGGGAAAGUAGCUUGCUACUUUUGCCGGCGAGCGGCGGACGGGUGAGUAAUGCCUGGGAAAUUGCCCAGUCGAGGGGGAUAACAGUUGGAAACGACUGCUAAUACCGCAUACGCCCUACGGGGGAAAGCAGGGGACCUUCGGGCCUUGCGCGAUUGGAUAUGCCCAGGUGGGAUUAGCUAGUUGGUGAGGUAAUGGCUCACCAAGGCGACGAUCCCUAGCUGGUCUGAGAGGAUGAUCAGCCACACUGGAACUGGGACACGGUCCAGACUCCUACGGGAGGCAGCAGUGGGGAAUAUUGCACAAUGGGGGAAACCCUGAUGCAGCCAUGCGGGGUGUGUGAAGAAGGCCUUCGGGUUGUAAAGCACUUUCAGCGAGGAGGAAAGGUUGAUGCCUAAUACGUAUCAACUGUGACGUUACUCGCAGAAGAAGCACCGGCUAACUCCGUGCCAGCCGCCGCCGUAA
RNAcentral lists this ribosomal RNA (508 nucleotides) under uncultured bacterium. Its description in RNAcentral is "partial 16S ribosomal RNA". It matches the Rfam family "Bacterial small subunit ribosomal RNA", at positions 30 to 523 of the family's 1533-position model. The record is from RNAcentral.